AACCAGCACCUCAAGUGGUCAGGAGGAUUAUUGGGCCUAAAGCAUCCGUAGCCGGCUCUGUAAGUUUUCGGUUAAAUCCAUGUGCUCAACGCAUGGGCUGCCGAAAAUACUGCAUAGCUAGGGAGUGGGAGAGGUAGACGGUACUCGGUAGGAAGGGGUAAAAUCCUUUGAUCUAUCGAUGACCACCUGUGGCGAAGGCGGCUAGCUGGGCCGGAUCUGACGCUCAUCCGCGAAAGCGUGGGGAGCAAACAGG
Molecule: ribosomal RNA, 253 nt
Filed under: uncultured archaeon
Lineage: Archaea
Description: partial 16S ribosomal RNA
Rfam family: Archaeal small subunit ribosomal RNA
Source: RNAcentral